AGCGAAUUGGUGUAGCGGUAGCAUAGCGGCUUCCAAACCCGUUGGCAGGGGUUCAAAUCCUCUAUUCGUUGC
This 72-nucleotide transfer RNA is filed under the name Mycobacterium phage CicholasNage. Its description in RNAcentral is "tRNA-Trp". It matches the Rfam family "tRNA". From Rfam's summary of the family: Transfer RNA (tRNA) molecules are approximately 80 nucleotides in length. Their secondary structure includes four short double-helical elements and three loops (D, anti-codon, and T loops). Further hydrogen bonds mediate the characteristic L-shaped molecular structure. tRNAs have two regions of fundamental functional importance: the anti-codon, which is responsible for specific mRNA codon recognition, and the 3' end, to which the tRNAs corresponding amino acid is attached (by aminoacyl-tRNA synthetases). tRNAs cope with the degeneracy of the genetic code in two manners: having more than one tRNA (with a specific anti-codon) for a particular amino acid; and 'wobble' base-pairing, i.e. permitting non-standard base-pairing at the 3rd anti-codon position. Lineage: Duplodnaviria; Heunggongvirae; Uroviricota; Caudoviricetes; Vilmaviridae. The record is from RNAcentral.